UGGUUCGGCGCCGACAGCGAUCAACGAUUCGAAAGGGAAGGGUUUUCUUAUUCUCUUCUCUUUGCUUUGAUCUAGGUAUGUUCGGAUUCCCCCCUCCCUCUCUCUCUCUCUCUCCCAUGGUUCUGCGAUAGCAGAAGGGCUGGGAAGGGGUAGUUGGAUCGUCGAGUGGAGGAUAGGCGAGGAGAUUACUGAGUUUGGUCCUGGAGGAUGGUUACCAAUGGGGUUAUAGAUGCAGUGUCGAAGCAGAGGCUAUUACAUCCUUGACAUCCUAUGGUGAUUACGUUCUAAAAUAUAUCUCCUUUGCAUCCUUCCAUAUCUCAUUGCUUCUCUGGUGCAGCGAUUCCUUUGAAUAAGCAGUUGUACACUUUCAGCUAUGUCUGUGUAACAUCAGGAGCAACAGCAUUGGUGUUCUCAGCCUUCUAUACUCUGGUUGAUAUUUGGAAUUUGAAGUAUCUGUUUCUGCCAUUGGAAUGGAUUGGCAUGAAUGCUAUGCUUGUCUAUGUUAUGGCAACUGAAGGCAUCUUUGCAGCAUUCAUUAAUGGGUGGUAUUAUAGUGAGCCCCAUAAUACACUGGUUUUGGUUGUAGGUGGUGGUGAAGGUGGAGUUCUUAGGGAAAUCUCUCGCGACAAUACCAAGGAGCUCAUUGAUAUUUGUGCGAUUGGUAAGAUGGUUAUAGAUGUAUGUGGUGAAUGAUGUACCCAUUCAUGUGAUUAUAUAUUAUUUGUGUUCUUUGUUAUGUAACAAGUAUGUUGCUGCAACUUCUUGCUUAUAGGUUAGUAAAAAGUUUUUUUUUUCCAGAGUUAGCUAUUGGCUUUGAGGAUCCUCAUGUGCAACUACAUAUUG
Molecule: non-coding RNA, 843 nt
Organism: Camellia sinensis
Lineage: Eukaryota; Viridiplantae; Streptophyta; Magnoliopsida; Ericales; Theaceae
Source: RefSeq, a predicted model, not a curated record